UUUUCGUAGGUGAACCUGCGGAAGGAUCAUUAGUGAAUCAUUAAACUUGGUGCCUGUUCGAAUUCACACUUCGUUCAGCCCAUUUUUAUUACACUAUUUCACACACACUUUGUGCACUCGUACACUUUUUUAAACACUUUGUGUUUUUUAUACAAGUUGAUGUGUCUGUUUUUAUGUUAAAUACAAUAAAAACUUUCAGCAAUGGAUCUCUUGGCUCUCGCAUCGAUGAAGAACGCAGC
Molecule: unclassified non-coding RNA, 239 nt
Filed under: uncultured fungus
Lineage: Eukaryota; Fungi
Description: sequence contains ITS1, 5.8S rRNA gene
Rfam family: 5.8S ribosomal RNA (bases 191-239)
Source: RNAcentral